ACCCUGUUGCGCAAUGGAUAGACCGUUGGACUUCUAAUCCAAAGGUCGUGGGCUCGAAUCCCACAUAGGAUG
Molecule: transfer RNA, 72 nt
Filed under: Trichonephila clavata
Lineage: Eukaryota; Metazoa; Arthropoda; Arachnida; Araneae; Nephilidae
Rfam family: tRNA
About the family: Transfer RNA (tRNA) molecules are approximately 80 nucleotides in length. Their secondary structure includes four short double-helical elements and three loops (D, anti-codon, and T loops).
Source: Rfam by way of RNAcentral